UACAGGGGGUGCAAACGUUGCUCGGAAUCAUUGGGCGUAAAGAGCUCGUAGGCGGUUUGUCGCGUCUGCCGUGAAAGUCCGAGGCUCAACCUCGGAUCUGCGGUGGGUACGGGCAGACUAGAGUGAUGUAGGGGAGACUGGAAUUCCUGGUGUAGCGGUGAAAUGCGCAGAUAUCAGGAGGAACACCGAUGGCGAAGGCAGGUCUCUGGGCAUUAACUGACGCUGAGGAGCGAAAGCAUGGGGAGCGAACAGG
RNAcentral lists this ribosomal RNA (253 nucleotides) under uncultured bacterium. RNAcentral's name for it is "partial 16S ribosomal RNA". It matches the Rfam family "Bacterial small subunit ribosomal RNA", at positions 524 to 776 of the family's 1533-position model. The record is from RNAcentral.